CGCAUCUGUGCAUGCAGCAUAUCAAUAAGCGGAGGAAAAGAAACUAACAAGGAUUCCCUUAGUAACGGCGAGUGAAGCGGGAAGAGCUCAAAUUUGAAAUCUUCAAGGUUUUACCUUGACGAAUUGUAGUUUAAGGAAGUGUUUUCUGUUGAAGUUUUGGUAAAAGUUCUUUGGAAUAGGACAUCAUAGAGGGUGAGAAUCCCGUAUUUGACCAUUAUUUUCAGCUGUGUGAUACACUUUCAAAGAGUCGGAUUGUUUGGGAAUGCAGUCCAAAAUGGGUGGUAAAUUUCAUCUAAAGCUAAAUACUGGCGAGAGACCGAUAGCGAACAAGUACCGUGAGGGAAAGAUGAAAAGAACUUUGAAAAGAGAGUUAAACAGUACGUGAAAUUGUCAAAAGGGAAGCGUUUGACACCAGUGUUGUUUUCUCGAAAAUCAAUUAAAAAAGAGUUAGAUUUUGUGUUGUAUUGACUUCAUCAGCUUUCUGCACUCUUUUCUUGUCUUUUUUAAUGCACUUUUCGUUUAACAAGUCAACAUCAAUUUCUUUUGUUGUAAAAGGGUCAUUGGAAGGUGGCUUUCUUUUCGGAGAAAGUGUUUAUAGCCUUUGGCCUCUGCAAUCGGAGAGAUUGAGGUCUGCAGCGUAGAUCCUUCGGGGUUAGAUACAUUUGUGCUAAGUUAUAGCCUUUCAUAGACAACUUGUUGACUAUGAUCAGUCAUGUAGCUUACUCGCUUAUGCUAUUUUACCUACGCUUAGGAUGUUGAUCUGUAGUGCGUGCGC
RNAcentral lists this ribosomal RNA (775 nucleotides) under uncultured Neocallimastigales. Its description in RNAcentral is "partial large subunit ribosomal RNA". It matches the Rfam family "Eukaryotic large subunit ribosomal RNA", at positions 26 to 632 of the family's 3401-position model. The record is from RNAcentral. Lineage: Eukaryota; Fungi; Neocallimastigomycota; Neocallimastigomycetes; Neocallimastigales.